GUGGGGAAUUGUUCGCAAUGGGCGAAAGCCUGACGACGCAACGCCGCGUGGGGGAUGAAGGCCUUCGGGUCGUAAACCCCUGUCGAGCGGGACGAACGGCCCGCGAUUGAAUAGAUCGCGGGAGUGACGGUACCGCUAAAGGAAGCCACGGCUAACUCUGUGCCAGCAGCCGCGGUAAUACAGAGGUGGCAAGCGUUGUUCGGAAUUACUGGGCGUAAAGGGCGCGUAGGCGGCUUCCUCAGUCAGACGUGAAAUCCCUAGGCUUAACCUAGGAACUGCGUCUGAUACUGGGAGGCUUGAGUUCGGGAGAGGGAUGUAGAAUUCCAGGUGUAGCGGUGAAAUGCGUAGAUAUCUGGAGGAAUACCGGUGGCGAAGGCGGCAUCCUGGACCGAAACUGACGCUGAGGCGCGAAAGCUAGGGUAGCAAACGGGAUUAGAUACCCGAGUAGUCC
This 451-nucleotide ribosomal RNA is filed under the name uncultured bacterium. RNAcentral describes it as "bacterial SSU rRNA". It matches the Rfam family "Bacterial small subunit ribosomal RNA", at positions 354 to 796 of the family's 1533-position model. The record is from RNAcentral.